This 496-nucleotide ribosomal RNA is filed under the name uncultured Streptococcus sp. Its description in RNAcentral is "partial 16S ribosomal RNA". Lineage: Bacteria; Bacillati; Bacillota; Bacilli; Lactobacillales; Streptococcaceae. The record is from RNAcentral.
CACGUAGUUAGCCGUCCCUUUCUGGUAAGCUACCGUCACAGUGUGAACUUUCCACUCUCACGCCCGUUCUUGACUUACAACAGAGCUUUACGAUCCGAAAACCUUCUUCACUCACGCGGCGUUGCUCGGUCAGGGUUGCCCCCAUUGCCGAAGAUUCCCUACUGCUGCCUCCCGUAGGAGUCUGGGCCGUGUCUCAGUCCCAGUGUGGCCGAUCACCCUCUCAGGUCGGCUAUGUAUCGUCGCCUAGGUGAGCCAUUACCUCACCUACUAGCUAAUACAACGCAGGUCCAUCUUGUAGUGGAGCAAUUGCCCCUUUCAAAUAAAUGACAUGUGUCAUCCAUUGUUAUGCGGUAUUAGCUAUCGUUUCCAAUAGUUAUCCCCCGCUACAAGGCAGGUUACCUACGCGUUACUCACCCGUUCGCAACUCAUCCAAGAAGAGCAAGCUCCUCUCUUCAGCGUUCUACUUGCAUGUAUUAGGCACGCCGCCAGCGUUCGU